This is a small nuclear RNA of Vulpes vulpes (red fox), 106 nucleotides long. Lineage: Eukaryota; Metazoa; Chordata; Mammalia; Carnivora; Canidae. The record is from Ensembl.
GUGCUCGCUUCAGCAGCACAUACACUAAAACUGAAAUAAUACAGAGAACGUUGGCAUGGCCCCUGCACAAGGAUGACCUGAAAUUCGUGAAGCAUUCCAUAACAAA